AGGGUUUUUUUGAAGUCACGCGAUAUUUUCUUUUCAAACCAGGGCUUUUGUUUUAUGAGAAAAUUAAGGCCAUAUAUAUUUAUAUUUAUAUUAGGAGAUAAUGCAUAUUUUUUAGCAUCCAUGCCGUAUAUAUUUAGCAUGUUUAUGCAUACAGUUUUUGUUAUAGUGUAUAAUGCAUUCUGUUUUAUUCAAUUUUAAAUGUUAGAAAAUUUUAAGUUUUUGGGGUUCCGUUUAAAUGGGUGGUUAACAACCAUUGAACUGCUUAGGUUGAUUUUCUGAUGAGUUUUCUGCUUUUCUGGUAGAAUGCCACAACUGAGCAUUAUCAAAUUUAUGAUCUGACAAAUGGUUUUAGGAGUAGUUGUGCUUAUGCUCGGCGACCAAGUUUGGACUGCCACUUUUGUUUUUGGUUUUGUGAGGAAAUAGAUAUAACGGUUGGAAAAUCAAUCUAUUAGCAUUUCCUCAAUUGCUUUUAUUUUGUGAUUUUUAGGGGGUUUUGUCUGUAUGCUCGGAUGCUGUUUGAUUUCAGUCUUUUUUGUAGUUUGAUAUCAAUAUUAUUUGUAGUUUGAUAUAAUAUUUAGACAAUCAAAAUGUGUCGUUCAGUCAAAUAGAGCAAAAGAUGCUGACAAAGGCUCAUUUCUUACUUAGGGUGAAAAGGUAGAGUAAAAUAUAGUUAGCCGGUGAAAGAGAGAAUCAAAGAGUGGGGAGGAACUAUUUUUCGAUUCAAACGUGUAAUCCUAGCUUAGGAGUGACAGUAAUCUUCUUUGUACUGUUCUAAUUUUAUGAGAUGUCCAUGAAGGAGAUUUCAUGGUGGGUGGCUCGCAGCAAAUUUAAGAGAACAUUGAUGCUCAAACGAUGAAGAUCUUGGUUGUCAAAUUGGGCUCUGAUUUGCUAGGUAGUUCAGGUUUUUAUUUUUUUUAUUUUUUUUUUAAUUUUGUCAACUAGGGAGUUCAGGUUUCAAUUUGAGCUUUUUGAGGGAGAUAGCUUUUUACUUUUCUUAUAAAAAGCUUUGACCUAGAAUUGGUGAUUGAUUAAUUACGAUCCCUAACGAAAUCCAAAAAAGCAGUGGUAGUGGUAAUUCAAAGAUAUCGUGACCAAUGUUCACAUUUUUGGUAGUGGUAAUUCAAUCCAAAACUUCAUAAUUUUAAGAUACAAUCUAAUUGUAGUAUGAAAAAAAAUUCCAAUUGUGGUAUUUUAGAUGUUGGAAUCGGAACAUUCAGUUCACUAAAACGACAUCGUUAUAUAAGAAAAAGACAAGGAUUGAACUUCUUCUUUGCGAUGGUGGCUCCACAAGUCAAGCUGAUAUCUGGCUCUGCCACAGUUGGCUCUACAAAUCAUGAAUGCCAUAUUGCUAAAUCCAUCAAACAAAUUCUGAACGCAAACUCACAUAUGACCUAUCAUCUAAUAUUUUCUCGUAGUGCGCAUCAAUACAAACUUGUGAUCGCAAACAUAACAAAAUUUAGAAUUAAAAUAAAGAUUCCACGGAACUACAAAGUUUAAGUAUAGUAUGAUAAUUUUGUAUUACUAUGACUGAUUACCUUUUGCCGUCCGUUCACCUUUAUUUUUCAUUUCUAUUUUAAAUUUCUUUAUUUCUUUUGCUUUUCUUUUUGUCUCUCCUCCCUCCUGCAUCCUCUCACCCUCUUCUCUUAGCGAGCCGACGACUGCCGACGCAACAGCUUUGUCGUCCACGGGUCACCAAAGGCUGUCAAAUUACACAUCCAGAAUGCUCUUGCCGUCCUUUAUCCAAUCCCCAAGAAUUGGACCUCGACCCAAGAGGUAGAAAUGAUCCUCUUCUCGUGGUCUGUUCUCCAAUCAGCUUACUUUGGUUCUGAGUUGCCUGCUGUCCAGUAGAUGUUUAAGACUUAAUGUGGAGGAAAUUCUCUCUUGAAGUUGCUUGAACUUACCUAUUUGGUAGACAAGGCUACUCAAGGGAAAGCUAGCCUGAGGUGAGACAUGCUAACUGAAAAGGGUUAUUCCAAUAUUAUUGUGGAAUCUGAUAAAGGUUUCUUGAGGCAGUUGCUGAUCCGAAAAGCUUCUUCCAUCUUAACUGCUAUUGGGUGUAAGACUUUUAUUGGGCUUACAUCUAUACAGGAGUCCUAAUUGAUUAAGGAUAAAAGAAAGGAAGUAAUAUUUGAUUAUUCCGGAUUACUUAUGGUGAAGUAUAGCAAUAAUUUUUGGGAAUAUCAAUCCUAUUAGUUCAUGGAUUUUAGAGGUGCUAAAGAUUUGUAUUAGGGUUUUCUUUAUGGGCGAGAAACCUAAUACUCUCACCUAUAAAUAUAAGGCUUAGGUCCCACUUUUAUACACAUUAUUCUAGCACAAAACACUACCCCAUAUAGGAGUGCAUAAGGCGUGUAGAGAGAGAUGAAGAUCUUUGCUUGUUCGUUGCUGAUCAUGGUUCAAUCUUGUUCAUAUCAAUGGCUUCUCAAGGUUAGUACUUGCAUAUUAUAGAUCGACUUGCAUUGGGUACCUCAAAAAAAUCAAUUAGGUAGCAGAAUGUGGUUUGACGAUCCUUAUUGUUCAAUUUUUUAAGUACUAUCCAUGUAUGUAUAUAUUCUAUAAAACAUGGUAGAAUAAUUUUUUGAGUACUAUAUAGAUAAUUUCAUCA
Pyrus x bretschneideri (Chinese white pear) is the source of this 2602-nucleotide long non-coding RNA. RefSeq lists it as uncharacterized. The record is from RefSeq and is a predicted model, not a curated record. The transcript has 4 exons. NCBI's taxonomy places the organism in Eukaryota, Viridiplantae, Streptophyta, Magnoliopsida, Rosales, Rosaceae.